GUGGAAUUCUCCUCAGAUGAGACGGAGUCCAGUGGGCAGAGGGGCAACUUAGCAUCCUCUCUUUCCCCAUGUUACCACGAUGCUCUUGGCAGGGACCAUUUGAUGGGGAUUCGGAUGUCUUCCUGGGGUGGUGAGCAGGGGUGAGGGAGGGGGAACUGCUGCUGGGUCAGUAGCUCCUCUCCAGAGUGAGCCCAUCUGUGGAAUGCCAUGCCCCUUCUCUAUCCCAUCUUUGCAAGUGGGCUUGGGUUCUUGGGAUGAGUUCUUCAGGCCUUAUAAAUGCAAACUGUGCAGAGGUGCCUCCAACAAGAAAAACCAGUCUCUGGCAGGGCCCCUAAGGGCAGGAUUCUGGAGAGGCCGCCCUGUCCUCAGUUUGGCCCUGGGACAUUCUGGCCGAAAGUAGGAUGGCUGCGGCAGAGGGAGGAGAGGGGCCUCCCUGUUGAUGGAGGCCACCAUGUAGGGCUUCACUAUGCUUCCCUUUCUGGCUCUCCCAGGGAGGAAGGGUGGCUGGCAGCUGGCGGCAGGGCUUGUGAAGGCUUAGCCCUGGGCCUGGUCCUGCUUCUCUUAGAGGUGGCUGGUUGUGCAAUGGCAUCCUGGCUGCUCCUCUUGGAGCCCUGUGACCACAGUUCCAGGCUCCACCCCCAUUUCUCACCGCCGGUGGUGAGAAAUGGAAUUUUUUUGUUUUGUGUUUUUAUGCUGUUCCCGUAACACCCAGCACCAGUCCCCAAGGAUGAGUGCUGAAGAUCCAUAGCCAUGGCAGGGCAGGGCCUAGGUACUGAAGGAAGAUCCCACUCAGAGUUCAGUUCCACCCACUGCAAAACGCCCUCCGAGGACCCUCACUAGACCAGUUCCUCCAAGUGCGGUCCGCAGGCUGCCAUCAGCGGGAUCACGGGCCUUGUAUGACCUCUGAAAAUAUGACCUGAAGCAGAUGGAUGCACUCACAUAAGAAACAUCACCUGUGGCCUUCAUCGAAAAUGGGCCUGCUGCUUGAAGAAGUUGGGCUCUUGGAGUUCUCUAGCACAGGGGCCAUGAAAAUCAAUGACUUCCUUGUUUGCUGACGGAGCAGAGGUAGAAUCUCUUGGUGUUUCCACGGAGAAAACACUGACCAUGAAGAGCCAAGAAAGAUGACAUGAUGAAGCCAUCAGGGGAAGCACCAAACAUCCUCAACUCUGCUCACCCAUGGUUUUCUCCCGCCCUCCCAGAGCUCCUCCUGCGUGAGUAAUGCAGUGUGUGCUGGUGCAGUGUCUCACUGAAAAAAGAAAGAAACCCUGAUUUGCAGCAUUGGCCAAUUUCUGUAGUGUAAAUACUCCCACCAUAGCAGAUUUCAGGUUACCAAGGGUUUCACAACUGGUUCACAAGUCUUGACUGUAAUGACCAGCUCAUGCAACUCCAGCAUCUCAUCAUCUCCGCCCUGUCCCAGAAAAUCCCCACAUCACACCCAGGCUGAAUAUCACUUUCAGCUUCUCAGUCAGAAGGAGAAGUGGUUAACUAUGCCAGGAUGGUAAUGACUAAAUAUCAGAAUGGUGAGUGUGGAGGGUCAGGAUGUCUGCCAAAUUGGAGAUGACUCUUCACUUCUCAAUCUUGGUGUCUCAUCUGGGGAAGCUGGAGGGAGACAUGCACAGCUUCUCAUGAACAGUCCUGGAAGCCCUUACCCCAAGGCCUCAUGGGGCUCUCUCCAGGGCUUGCUCUUUGUCACUCCUUUAAAAGCCUGUCAUUCAUUGCCAGAGAACAGAAGACUCCAUCCUAAGGCCAAGUUGAAAACGGCAGGCUUGGGAGCUGUCUAGACUCUGGGUCCUGGCUUUUGUCUUGGCUGGUGUCAAAAUGGACUCUUUAAAAACUGUCCUCAGGAAGAUUCCCCAUCCAACUCUGAACAGCCUGGACUGAUCUUUUUCUGAUUUUUAGGGGUCUUGUGAACAAGAGUCAGGUGGGCGGGCAGCUCUUGUAAAGCUGAACAUAACCAAAUUUGUCCAUAGCCUGUGACAGCAAAGAUCACAAAAUUCUUCCCUCCCCUUUAGGGCCUGGGAGUGACGCCGAACCAAGGGGAGGAUAGUGACCUAUUUUAUCUCCCAAACAUUGGGCAGCCAGUUGCAUUUGCAGAUUUAAAAUCCACCCACACUACUGCAGUUUCUGUUCUCCUGCCCCCCCGAGCAUACUUCUGGCUGGAGCUGGUUUUGUAAAGUGGAGUUGGCUGUGGGUGUGGGAGUCCUCCUCGGAGAGCCUGGUCUGACAGCCCCAGUCAACAGCCCUCCCAUGGGCAUUUGGGCUGCUCCAGUCCCGGCAGGUGCACAGCUCAGGGGAAUCUGGUUUUGUCUUGGUCUCAGCCAGGGAAGUCUAGUUAAAGAAAGAAAAGGUUGGCCGGGUGCAGAGGCUCACACCUGUAAUCCCAGC
Molecule: long non-coding RNA, 2385 nt
Filed under: Homo sapiens (human)
Lineage: Eukaryota; Metazoa; Chordata; Mammalia; Primates; Hominidae
Description: non-protein coding LINC01588:70
Source: RNAcentral